Molecule: ribosomal RNA, 1635 nt
Filed under: Salinivibrio sp. HTSP
Lineage: Bacteria; Pseudomonadati; Pseudomonadota; Gammaproteobacteria; Vibrionales; Vibrionaceae
Description: bacterial LSU rRNA
Rfam family: Bacterial large subunit ribosomal RNA
Source: RNAcentral
UAUUGGGUAGGGGAGCGUUGUGUAAGCUGUUGAAGGUGUGCUGAGAGGCAUGCUGGAGGUAUCACAAGUGCGAAUGCUGACAUGAGUAACGAUAAAGGGGGUGAAAAACCUCCUCGCCGGAAGACCAAGGGUUCCUGUCCAACGUUAAUCGGGGCAGGGUAAGUCGGCCCCUAAGGCGAGGCCGAAAGGCGUAGUCGAUGGGAAACGGGUUAAUAUUCCCGUACUGCUGCUUACUGCGAUGGGGGGACGGAGAAGGCUAGGUGGGCCUGGCGAUGGUUGUCCAGGUUCAAGUGCGUAGGCUGAUUUCUUAGGCAAAUCCGGGAAAUCAAGGCCGAGACACGAUGUCGAGCCACCAAGGUGGUGAAGUCAUUGAUGCCAUGCUUCCGGGAAAAGCCUCUAAGCUUCAGGUAAGUAGCAACCGUACUCCAAACCGACACAGGUGGUCGGGUAGAGAAUACCAAGGCGCUUGAGAGAACUCGGGUGAAGGAACUAGGCAAAAUGGUACCGUAACUUCGGGAGAAGGUACGCUGCCCGCGGUGAAGUCCCUUGCGGAUGGAGCUAUGGGCAGUCGCAGAUACCAGGUGGCUGCAACUGUUUAUUAAAAACACAGCACUGUGCAAAAUCGAAAGAUGACGUAUACGGUGUGACGCCUGCCCGGUGCCGGAAGGUUAAUUGAUGUGGUUAUCGCAAGAGAAGCCAUUGAUUGAAGCCCCGGUAAACGGCGGCCGUAACUAUAACGGUCCUAAGGUAGCGAAAUUCCUUGUCGGGUAAGUUCCGACCUGCACGAAUGGCGUAAUGAUGGCCACGCUGUCUCCACCCGAGACUCAGUGAAAUUGAAAUCGCAGUGAAGAUGCUGUGUACCCGCGGCUAGACGGAAAGACCCCGUGAACCUUUACUACAGCUUGGCACUGAACAUUGAGCCUACAUGUGUAGGAUAGGUGGGAGGCUUUGAAGCGGCGACGCCAGUUGCUGUGGAGCCAUCCUUGAAAUACCACCCUUGUAUGUUUGAUGUUCUAACUUAGCCCCGUUAUCCGGGGUGAGGACAGUGCCUGGUGGGUAGUUUGACUGGGGCGGUCUCCUCCCAAAGUGUAACGGAGGAGCACGAAGGUGGGCUAAUCACGGUCGGACAUCGUGAGGUUAGUGCAAUGGCAUAAGCCCGCUUAACUGCGAGAGUGACGGCUCGAGCAGGUACGAAAGUAGGUCAUAGUGAUCCGGUGGUUCUGAAUGGAAGGGCCAUCGCUCAACGGAUAAAAGGUACUCCGGGGAUAACAGGCUGAUACCGCCCAAGAGUUCAUAUCGACGGCGGUGUUUGGCACCUCGAUGUCGGCUCAUCACAUCCUGGGGCUGAAGUCGGUCCCAAGGGUAUGGCUGUUCGCCAUUUAAAGUGGUACGCGAGCUGGGUUUAGAACGUCGUGAGACAGUUCGGUCCCUAUCUGCCGUGGGCGUUGGAUGAUUGAGGGGAGCUGCUCCUAGUACGAGAGGACCGGAGUGGACGAACCGCUGGUGUUCGGGUUGUGUCGCCAGACGCAUUGCCCGGUAGCUAAGUUCGGCACAGAUAAGCGCUGAAAGCAUCUAAGCGCGAAGCUGGCCCCGAGAUGAGUCAUCCCUAGAGCCUCGAGCUCUCUAAAGGGUUGU